GGUCCGCUGGCUCAAUGGCAGAGCGUCUGACUACGAAUCAGGAGGUUCCAGGUUCGACCCCUGGGUGGAUC
Molecule: transfer RNA, 71 nt
Filed under: Neurospora sp. IMI 360204
Lineage: Eukaryota; Fungi; Ascomycota; Sordariomycetes; Sordariales; Sordariaceae
Description: tRNA-Arg
Rfam family: tRNA
About the family: Transfer RNA (tRNA) molecules are approximately 80 nucleotides in length.
Source: RNAcentral